Molecule: unclassified non-coding RNA, 391 nt
Filed under: soil metagenome
Description: partial contains 5.8S ribosomal RNA, internal transcribed spacer 2, and large subunit ribosomal RNA
Rfam family: 5.8S ribosomal RNA (bases 1-122)
Source: RNAcentral
GAUGAAGAACGUAGCGAAAUGCGAUACUUGGUGUGAAUUGCAGAAUCCCGUGAACCAUCGAGUCUUUGAACGCAAGUUGCGCCCGAAGCCAUUAGGCCGAGGGCACGCCUGCCUGGGCGUCACACGUCGUUGCCCCCCCAUCUACUCCUUCGGGAUUGCGGGGGGCGGAUGAUGGCCUCCCGUGCGCCUCGCCGCGCGGUUGGCAUAAAUGCCAAGUCCUCGGCGACGCACGCCACGACAAUCGGUGGUUGCGAAACCUCGGUUGCCCGUCGUGUGCGGUCGUCGCGCAUCGAGAGCUCGAAAAAAUUGCCGGGUUCCGGCUCGGCUUUCAACGCGACCCCAGGUCAGGCGGGGUUACCCGCUGAAUUUAAGCAUAUCAAUAAGCGGAGGA